Molecule: long non-coding RNA, 453 nt
Filed under: Ananas comosus (pineapple)
Lineage: Eukaryota; Viridiplantae; Streptophyta; Magnoliopsida; Poales; Bromeliaceae
Description: long non-coding RNA (ACOM_LNC011613)
Source: RNAcentral
AAUUCAAAUAUGAAAUUUAAAUUUUAAAUUUUAAAUUUAAUAAGAGGAGUAAUAUUAUCAUUUUUCAUUUAUUACUAUCUAUAAUUCUUACCGACCGUCCCUAGCACAAGUGGCAAAAAGGCUUGAUGGCUGGUACGCGAGAUCUAAAUUUGAAUCCUAGUUGAUUCAUAUUUCCAGCUACGUUUAUUUCUAAAUGAAAUAAACAAAGCAGGUAGCCUGCUACCUUUCUCUCCCAAAAAAACAAAAAAAACUAUCUAUAAUUCUUUUUAUUCUAUUUUAUCUAUUCAAACGCUAUAUUUUUUCCUAUAAAAAAUAAUUCAAUUUUUAUCCAAACGUAAAAUUAGUCUGCUUCUUGCUUAUAUCUGAACUUGCAUCUAACUCUGAAAUAAGUUAUUUGUUACAGUUUACACCACAAAUCCAAUUAACCUUUUAUACAUUUCAAAUUUUAAGUCC